GGGGGGGGGGGGGGGGGGGGCGAGGGGAGGGGAGGCGGGGGGGCGGACGGGGAGCUUGCUCCUCUGAGGGUAGCGGCGGACGGGUGAGUAACACGGGGAUGACCUACCUAUAAGACGGGGAUAACUUCGGGAAACCGGAGCUCAUAACGGCUGAUCUAUUGAACCGCAUGGUUCAAUAGGGCAAGACGGGUUUGCGGUCACUUAUAGAUGGAUCCGCGCCGCAUGAGCUAGUGGGUAAGGUAACGGCUUACCAAGGCAACGAGGCGUAGCCGACCUGAGAGGGUGAUCGGCCACACUGGAACUGAGACACGGUACAGACUCCUACGGGAGGCAGCAGUAGGGAAUCUUCCGCAAUGGGCGAAAGCCUGACGGAGCAACGCCGCGUGAGUGAUGAAGGUCUUCGGAUCGUAAAAAUCUGUUAUUAGGGAAGAACAAAUGUGUAAGUAACUAUGCACGUCUUGACGGUACCUAAUCAGAAAGCCACGGCUAACUACGUG
Molecule: ribosomal RNA, 497 nt
Filed under: uncultured bacterium
Lineage: Bacteria
Description: partial 16S ribosomal RNA
Rfam family: Bacterial small subunit ribosomal RNA
Source: RNAcentral